GAUGAACGCUGGCGGCGUGCUUAACACAUGCAAGUCGAACGGAAAGGCCCAAGCUUGCUUGGGUACUCGAGUGGCGAACGGGUGAGUAACACGUGGGUGAUCUGCCCUGCACUUCGGGAUAAGCCUGGGAAACUGGGUCUAAUACCGGAUAGGACGAUGGUUUGGAUGCCAUUGUGGAAAGUUUUUUCGGUGUGGGAUGAGCUCGCGGCCUAUCAGCUUGUUGGUGGGGUAAUGGCCUACCAAGGCGUCGACGGGUAGCCGGCCUGAGAGGGUGUACGGCGACAUUGGGACUGAGAUACGGCCCAGACUCCUACGGGGGGCAGCAGUGGGGAAUAUUGCACAAUAGGCGCAAGACUGAGGCAGCGACGCCGCGUGGGGGAUGACGGCGUUCGGGUUGUAAAAUCCUUUCGCUAGGGACGAAGCGUUUUUGUGACGGUAACUGGAGAAGAAGCACCGGCUAACUACGUG
Molecule: ribosomal RNA, 468 nt
Filed under: uncultured bacterium
Lineage: Bacteria
Description: partial 16S ribosomal RNA
Rfam family: Bacterial small subunit ribosomal RNA
Source: RNAcentral